GACGAACGCUGGCGGCGUGCUUAACACAUGCAAGUCGAACGAUGAAGAAAAGAAUCGAAGCUUCGGCAGAAAUUCAUUUCGGAUUAGUGGCAGACGGGUGAGUAACGCGUGAGCAACCUACCUCUUACAAAGGGAUAGCCUCGGGAAACCGGGAUUAAUACCAUAUAACAUUGCGACGAAGCAUUUCGAUGCAAUCAAAGCUACGGCGGUAAGAGAUGGGCUCGCGUCCCAUUAACCGGAUGGUGAGGUAACGGCUCACCAUAGUGACGAUGGGUAACCGGCCUGAGAGGGUGAACGGUCACACUGGAACUGAGACACGGUCCAGACUCCUACGGGAGGCAGCAGUGGGGAAUAUUGCACAAUGGAGGGAAGUCUGAUGCAGCGACGCCGCGUGAGUGAUGAAGGAAUUAGUUUCGUAAAGCUCUGCUAUAUGGGAAGAAAAGGACUGUACCAUAGGAGAAAGCUCCGGCUAAAUACGUG
This 480-nucleotide ribosomal RNA is filed under the name uncultured bacterium. RNAcentral's name for it is "partial 16S ribosomal RNA". It matches the Rfam family "Bacterial small subunit ribosomal RNA", at positions 28 to 507 of the family's 1533-position model. The record is from RNAcentral.